RNAcentral lists this ribosomal RNA (253 nucleotides) under uncultured bacterium. RNAcentral describes it as "partial 16S ribosomal RNA". It matches the Rfam family "Bacterial small subunit ribosomal RNA", at positions 524 to 776 of the family's 1533-position model. The record is from RNAcentral.
UACGUAGGGUGCGAGCGUUAAUCGGAAUUACUGGGCGUAAAGCGUGCGCAGGCGGUUGUGCAAGACCGAUGUGAAAUCCCCGGGCUUAACCUGGGAACUGCAUUUGUGACUGCACGGCUAGAGUACGGCAGAGGGGGAUGGAAUUCCGCGUGUAGCAGUGAAAUGCGUAGAUAUGCGGAGGAACACCAAUGGCGAAGGCAGUCCCCUGGGCCUGUACUGACGCUCAUGCACGAAAGCGUGGGGAGCAAACAGG